ACAAAACUCUGGGAAUGUUAAUGGCACAAUGGCAAUUAGCAAUGGGUUUCUCCUCCCGGGCCUUGUUAGGCAAGUACUCCCAGCCCCGAUUUUCUAUGGCAUAAUAAAGUAUAAACAUUGCAGUAUAUCCCGAGCUUGUCCCUCAAACAGCAAUGCAUACUCCCACUCCUUUUGCGUUGCUCCAGGAUAUAAAGUUGCAAAUAGUCCUUACCCUUAAUUUCUCUCUCCCUACCCUUGCCUGCCCUUGGACCCUCCUUAUGGACUAUUAAUAAUCAUAAUUUCAGAUGUCCAUGUAUCCAGUCAAUAGAUGAGAUUCUGCUUCCUCCUCCUUCCCGCCCCUGUCCUGCACCUUUUGCAUUGUUGGUGGGGAAUGUUGACUGGGCAAGGCCCUUUCUCUUGGACCUAAAUGUUAACAAUCCCAGAUGUCAGUGGUUUACCCACUUCGUAUUACACUUUCCUUGGUCCCGCCCAUCCGACAUGGACCCCUGCACUUAUUUCUUUGCAUUGCUUCUGAGUAAUGCUGACUACCUAAAGCCCUUUCUGUGUUGUUAAUUAACACAGUACUGAUUGUCCCAUUUUUCAGCCCAUCAUCCCAAGAUCUCCCUGCCACUUUGAUGUUGCGUUUGUGCAGUGUUGACUACCAAAAGCAGGCCUGAACUAGGUGGAUGGACCUUCACUCCUUUUCCUGUAUUUGUUAAUUAUCCCAAUUCCAAUGACUGUCCUAUCCCUGCCCACUGUUGUUACUGCUUUACUGGGCAAAAUGUUCAAGGCAAGUCAGGCCCAGGGUCCUGGACUGCCAUUCUUUAUUUUAUCAGAUGAAAAUUGUCUUCCCGGGAAGGAAGAUUAACACCGUCUCUGCAUUCUUCCUUCCAGAGCAGAUUGCCUGGCUAAGAAUGCUAUUCUACAGAAUCAAUUGCCAGGAUACAAUCAAAGAGUUCCCGUGAAUUUCUUGUUUCUUAAGAAAGACAUCUGGAUUACAGCUGGAAUUGAAUAACCUGGUCAUUAAAUUUUUGAACUUUAAAGAUCCAUUUAUACCAUGUACCUGAUGACCAGUGUCUCUCAUUUUACUAAGGGUGGUGAGUCUGUGGAUAGACCACUGUGACUCUUGCUAUACCAAAAGAAUUCUAGAAUGGAGCUCCUAAGACAAGUAUCUUUGGACUUUACUACCAUUCACUUUUAGAAAAACUACCUACACUUUCUAAUCCUUAAAUUUCUUCAUCUGGAGCACCAACUGGCCCCUUCUUAUUUCAAGAAGAUUACUAUAAAAAGAUGAAAUGAGAGAACAUAUACUGUAGAUCACCUUAUUUGAUUACUCUAUUACAUAAAAUAUGCCCUCUUUAAUUGUGCUAAUUUAAAGUAGCCUUAAGCAACACAGUGAAGUGAGGACUUAGAAAUGAUGGGACCUGUUUCCCUGUUUUAUAGCAAAAGAAAAAUAGGCCAAGAUCUAAUCAUUCUUCUGGACAUAAAUUUCAACAGUGAGAUAGCUGCUUGGUAAAAAUGAAAAUUAGCCUAGCCUCUAGUGUACAGGGUGUUUGGUGGCAGAGAAGUAUUUAAUACGGAACUGCUGAAGCAAAUAACUAAUCAUCAUAACAGCAGUUCCUUAUAAUCACUGAAAAAGGAUACUAUUCCUGUGAGAAGGAUGUCAAAAGGUCGGCCCAGCUCAGGGUGCAGUGUGCACUACUAGCUCCUUGGACAGCUGUAAGAAGAGUCUCUGGCUCUUUAGAAUACUGAAUGAAUUCUGAGCCGGUUCUGUACCCAUACUCAGGAAGGAUGGAUCAAUUUUAGGUGGAUUGAAGCCUGCACUAGACAGCAUCCGAAGGAUAUUCUGAGAAUGUGAGACCUGAGGACAGCAAGCAACUCUAAGAAGCUCCACACUCAGCAGAUCUUUCCUUUUGAGAAUCUGGAGAAGCUCCCACUACUCUAAGAGGACAGCUUGCAGGCCACCAGGAUGAAAAGAUCUUCCUCAAAAGAAGAGGCUUGUUGCUUUACAGUGUUAGUGACCCGUUCCCUUUGACGAUCCCUAGGUGGAGAUGGGGCAUGAGGAUCCUCCAAGGGAAAAGCUCACUACCACUGGGCAACAACCCUAAGCCAAGAAGUUCUGCCAAGAUUCUUUCCUGGGCCCAGAUAGGAAGGUCAAGUCUCAAGGCAGCCUGCAAACAUCACCGUACAAAGAGCAAGAAAUUUGAACACAUCAAAGGAAGAUCAACAUGCCUGGCACACUAGCAUUUUAGAAGAGCAGAAUGAAAAGUGUGUAUUUCCUUCUUGAAUGUCUUUGGUGUUUGUUCUCUGAAGUGUGUCUAACCCAUUUCUAUGAUUCUCCUGCUAGUUUCUUCUCUACGUAUCUUUGUCUCAUUUUCUUUUUUCUUUAUAAGAGUGGGCUGUGUCUUGUCUUAGAUGUCUCUCUCUACUUCAUUGUGUUACUGAUCGUCUUUGCUCUCCUAGAUCUGGCUGUUCUUUCACUGCUCUUCCGUUUGUGUCUCUGAGUCACACGCUAUGUGCUUUUGCUUAUUUCUUGUUCUGCCUCUCUUUUUUUCCUCUUUGUGAACUCUGAUUGGAUUGACAUUUCAACGUUUUCUGUUUCUGGCCUCCCUUCUGCUGUUUCUAUAUCUUGCCUUUCUCUUUCUUCCAUGUCCUUUCUGCCUCUCUUGGGCCAUUUUCUGUCUUUUUUCCUGCUCUGUGUGCCUCAGUGUCUCUUUGUUCUUUGUGAUUUUCCAUUUCGUUAUUCCUCUCUG
Molecule: long non-coding RNA, 2732 nt
Organism: Pteropus alecto (black flying fox)
Lineage: Eukaryota; Metazoa; Chordata; Mammalia; Chiroptera; Pteropodidae
Exons: 6
Source: RefSeq, a predicted model, not a curated record